AUGUAGCACUCGUACAUCCCGGUUCCUCCGCGCCAUCUGCACCCACCUGACGACCGCUCGCCAUGUUUUCUUGGGC
This 76-nucleotide small RNA is filed under the name Xanthomonas codiaei. RNAcentral describes it as "sX9 sRNA". It matches the Rfam family "Xanthomonas sRNA sX9". Lineage: Bacteria; Pseudomonadati; Pseudomonadota; Gammaproteobacteria; Lysobacterales; Lysobacteraceae. The record is from RNAcentral.